This 1082-nucleotide long non-coding RNA is filed under the name Musa acuminata (dwarf banana). RNAcentral describes it as "long non-coding RNA (MACU_LNC001407)". Lineage: Eukaryota; Viridiplantae; Streptophyta; Magnoliopsida; Zingiberales; Musaceae. The record is from RNAcentral.
UAAGGAGAAUCCAACAAAUAUAUUUAUCUUGUAUUAAUAGGCACAUCAUAAAGUCAACCAGCGGCGGCCAAUGAGACACCGACAACUGUCCCAUAGAUUUAAAGGUCAAACGAAACAUGCAUAUUAUACAGUGUCAGUGAACAUGACAGACUUAAAAGAUGCUAUUACAGGACUAAUGGUGGUGGCUCCAUGACUGGCCAUCCAACAGACUUUAAGAGCUCCAUGGGGCACAUGCAUCAUUAAAAUUGCAGCUGCUGGUCCUCAGCAGCCUGGCUGAGAAUGAAUGUAAUACUGUGGUUACAUCAGUCACUCUGGUUUUGCUUGAGAUGAUUUCUGAGACUGUGAAAAAGAGACAUAGGUACCUGAUGCUGCCUCAUCAAGUCAAGAGAUUGGUCAGUCUCUUUUUUACUUUUUUUUACCUUUUACUUUUCACUGUGGUGUUCAUCCUUUCAGGUGCUCUCACUUUUGCUUCAUUUUUGACCGUAGAAUGAUCAUUUUGUAGUGGUAUCUUUGGCUCAUCAGUGAUUCACCAACUCAUACUUGGACAAGUACAUCAUUUUGUAGUGGUAUCUUUGGCUCAUCAGUGAUCCACCAACUCAUAACUUGGACAAGCACUUGGAAUACAAAUUGUUUACAGUGAAAAGAUGUUGAAAAGGAUGUUCCAGCAACAAAAUCACCUUACUCAUAUACUUGGACAAGCACUUGGAAGACAAUUUGUUUACAGUGACAAGAUGUUGAAAAGGAUGUUUCAGCAACAAAAUCUGACUUGAAAUGUUGGCUUGUUUCUAUCUUAAAAGGAUCUGCAAGUAGAUAUCAGAAUGACAACCAUAUGCAUUUAGGACAAUUAUAUUGUAGCAGAAUCAGCUGAUUUGAUUGCAUCUGAGAUUACCCAACGAGAUUGCUCUUUACAGAUCUAAAAGUUUGAUAAUUAUCCAUGUCAGUCUGGAAGGGUGAAAACCAAAUGACUUUUUGCUACAUGGUAAAUAGGUAAAAAAAAAAGAAGAAAAAACAGAGAUUUCAGUUAAAAUAUCAAAUAUUUCUCAAGGACAUUCUCCGACUCAUCCACACGAAUGUUGGAGGUG